RNAcentral lists this ribosomal RNA (431 nucleotides) under Riopa punctata (Common dotted garden skink). RNAcentral describes it as "Lygosoma punctata (Common dotted garden skink) partial 16S ribosomal RNA". It matches the Rfam family "Bacterial large subunit ribosomal RNA", at positions 1961 to 2594 of the family's 2925-position model. Lineage: Eukaryota; Metazoa; Chordata; Lepidosauria; Squamata; Scincidae. The record is from RNAcentral.
GUAAUCACUUGUCUUCUAAAUAAAGACUAGUAUGAACGGCUAAAUGAGGACAAACCUGUCUCCUGUGACCAAUCAGUGAAACUGAUCUUUCAGUACAAAAGCUGAAAUAACCCCAUAAGACGAGAAGACCCUGUGGAGCUUUAAACCAACUACUAAUAACCCAACCCUAGUAUGAGGUUUUGAGUUGGGGCGACUUUGGAGCAAAACACAACCUCCAAGCACAGAGGCACCCCCCUCUACUUAAGGCAAACAGGCCAAAACCAAGAGACGACCCAGUCACACUGAUCAACGAACCAAGUUACCCCAGGGAUAACAGCGCCAUCUUCUUUAAGAGUCCAUAUCGACAAGAAGGUUUACGACCUCGAUGUUGGAUCAGGACACCCAAAUGGUGUAGCCGCUAUUAAAGGUUCGUUUGUUCAAGGAUUAACAGU